RNAcentral lists this ribosomal RNA (490 nucleotides) under uncultured bacterium. RNAcentral's name for it is "bacterial LSU rRNA". It matches the Rfam family "Bacterial large subunit ribosomal RNA", at positions 1978 to 2472 of the family's 2925-position model. The record is from RNAcentral.
AAGUUCCGACCUGCACGGAAUGGUAUACGAUCUGGAUACUGUCUCAGCUAAGCGCUCGGUGAAAUUGUAGUCUCGGUGAAGAUGCCGAGUACCCGCAACGGGACGGAAAGACCCCCGUGCACCUUUACUGCAACUUUGUAUUGAUUUCGGAUAAAUGAUGCGUAGCAUAGGUGGGAGACUUCGAAGCCCUGAUUCUGGUUGGGGCUGAGUCACCAGUGAAAUACCACCCUUCGUUUAUUUGAGAUCUAACUCCUGAACAACAGGAGGACAGUGCAUGGUGGGUAGUUUGACUGGGGUGGUACGCCUCCAAAAGAGUAUCGGAGGCUCCCAAAGGUACCCUCAGCACGCUUGGUAACCGUGCGCAGAGUGUAAUGGCACAAGGGUGCUUAACUGUGAGGCCUACAAGCCGAGCAGAGACGAAAGUCGGGCAUAGUGAUCCGGUGGUUCCGCAUGGAAGGGCCAUCGCUCAUAGGAUAAAAGGUACGCCGGG